Long non-coding RNA from Pseudophryne corroboree (corroboree frog), 264 nucleotides. RefSeq lists it as uncharacterized. Lineage: Eukaryota; Metazoa; Chordata; Amphibia; Anura; Myobatrachidae. The record is from RefSeq and is a predicted model, not a curated record. The transcript is spliced from 2 exons.
AUAGGUAAAAUAUGGAUUAUAAUUUUGUGAAAAUACAGCUGUUUCAAACUAAUUAAUUGCCUUUUCAUAAAAAACACUCCUGAAGAAGUCGACAUACGACGAAACGCGUUGAGUGUAAAAAUCUUUUAUUGUUUGGAAAAGUUGUUAUUAAAUUUUUUGGCUGUAAUGAACAAUAACACAUUGUAAAAGUGUACAUCAUUUUUUAUCAGUAUUGAAAUUUAAUUAUUUUAGCAAUAAAAAGCAAUAGAUGUUUUAAAGUUUAAA